GAAACAUUGAUACUGUUAAGUUGUCUUCACACAGGUAUAGCUUUGCGAGACUGCAGUUUAUAUCUCGCAUGCACAACAAACGUAAAUGAGGGUCGUGAUUAGAGCUAAAAGAAGAAAAAAAGAAAAUAAUUUACUCCCAAAAAAUUAGAUAAAAAGGGUCUAAUAUAUACAGAAUAGAAAAUAAUCAUGACAAUGGGCAUAAAAUAUAAAAGAAAUAGAGAAAUAUGAUCUAAAUUAUCAUAGAAUACAGAUAUGAAAGACCCCAUUCAGACCCUAGUAAAUGCUGUAAGAUGUGUCGAUUAUUUCGCAUUUACGGAAAAAAUAAAUCCAUAUAUUGUAUAGUACUUUUUGCAGCAAAGUUCACGUAUUGAUGGUUUCAGAGAGUCACACCGAGCGAAUAUUUGAAUUGAAGUAGAUAUUGUUCUUCCCGAUUCAAAACAGAACUGCUUGAAGAUAUAAUUAAUGAUAUUAAAAAAUGGCAAGGUGCUUUU
Molecule: long non-coding RNA, 491 nt
Filed under: Mytilus galloprovincialis (Mediterranean mussel)
Lineage: Eukaryota; Metazoa; Mollusca; Bivalvia; Mytilida; Mytilidae
Source: RNAcentral